AUACGCGAGGAACCUUACCUGGCCUUGACAUCCUGCGAACUUUCUAGAGAUAGAUUGGUGCCUUCGGGAACGCAGUGACAGGUGUUGCAUGGCUGUCG
This 98-nucleotide ribosomal RNA is filed under the name uncultured marine bacterium. RNAcentral's name for it is "partial small subunit ribosomal RNA". It matches the Rfam family "Bacterial small subunit ribosomal RNA", at positions 957 to 1054 of the family's 1533-position model. The record is from RNAcentral.